RNAcentral lists this ribosomal RNA (468 nucleotides) under uncultured bacterium. RNAcentral describes it as "partial 16S ribosomal RNA". It matches the Rfam family "Bacterial small subunit ribosomal RNA", at positions 28 to 507 of the family's 1533-position model. The record is from RNAcentral.
GACGAACGCUGGCGGCGUGCUUAACACAUGCAAGUCGAACGGAAAGGCCCUGCUUUUGUGGGGUGCUCGAGUGGCGAACGGGUGAGUAACACGUGAGUAACCUGCCCUUGACUUUGGGAUAACUUCAGGAAACUGGGGCUAAUACCGGAUAGGAGCCCCUGCUGCAUGGUGGGGGUUGGAAAGUUUCGGCGGUUGGGGAUGGACUCGCGGCUUAUCAGCUUGUUGGUGGGGUAGUGGCUUACCAAGGCUUUGACGGGUAGCCGGCCUGAGAGGGUGACCGGCCACAUUGGGACUGAGAUACGGCCCAGACUCCUACGGGAGGCAGCAGUGGGGAAUAUUGCACAAUGGGCGGAAGCCUGAUGCAGCAACGCCGCGUGAGGGAUGACGGCCUUCGGGUUGUAAACCGCUUUCGCCUGUGACGAAGCGUGAGUGACGGUAAUGGGUAAAGAAGCACCGGCUAACUACGUG